This 468-nucleotide ribosomal RNA is filed under the name uncultured bacterium. RNAcentral's name for it is "partial 16S ribosomal RNA". It matches the Rfam family "Bacterial small subunit ribosomal RNA", at positions 28 to 507 of the family's 1533-position model. The record is from RNAcentral.
GACGAACGCUGGCGGCGUGCUUAACACAUGCAAGUCGAACGGUGAAGCUCCAGCUUGCUGGAGUGGAUCAGUGGCGAACGGGUGAGUAACACGUGAGCAACCUGCCCCUGACUCUGGAAUAAGCGCUGGAAACGGCGUCUAAUACUGGAUACGAGAAGGGUCCGCAUGGGCACUUUCUGGAAAGUUUGUCGGUUGGGGAUGGGCUCGCGGCCUAUCAGCUUGUUGGUGAGGUAAUGGCUCACCAAGGCGACGACGGGUAGCCGGCCUGAGAGGGCGACCGGCCACACUGGGACUGAGACACGGACCAGACUCCUACGGGAGGCAGCAGUGGGGAAUAUUGCACAAUGGGCGAAAGCCUGAUGCAGCGACGCCGCGUGAGGGAUGACGGCCUUCGGGUUGUAAACCUCUUUCAGCAGGGAAGAAGCGAAAGUGACGGUACCUGCAGAAGAAGCACCGGCUAACUACGUG